ACCCUCCUGUGGUGCAAUGGGUCAGCACAUCUGCUUGUUAAUUGGAAGGCGGGCGGUUCAAACCCUCUCAGGGACA
Molecule: non-coding RNA, 76 nt
Organism: Podarcis lilfordi (Lilford's wall lizard)
Lineage: Eukaryota; Metazoa; Chordata; Lepidosauria; Squamata; Lacertidae
Source: the annotation of a GenBank genome assembly